RNAcentral lists this ribosomal RNA (321 nucleotides) under uncultured Mycobacterium sp. RNAcentral describes it as "bacterial SSU rRNA". It matches the Rfam family "Bacterial small subunit ribosomal RNA", at positions 12 to 333 of the family's 1533-position model. The record is from RNAcentral. Lineage: Bacteria; Bacillati; Actinomycetota; Actinomycetes; Mycobacteriales; Mycobacteriaceae.
UUUGAUCCUGGCUCAGGACGAACGCUGGCGGCGUGCUUAACACAUGCAAGUCGAACGGAAAGGCCCCUUCGGGGGUACUCGAGUGGCGAACGGGUGAGUAACACGUGGGCAAUCUGCCCUGCACUUCGGGAUAAGCCUGGGAAACUGGGUCUAAUACCGGAUAGGACCUUUAGGCGCAUGUCUUUAGGUGGAAAGCUUUUGCGGUGUGGGAUGGGCCCGCGGCCUAUCAGCUUGUUGGUGGGGUGAUGGCCUACCAAGGCGACGACGGGUAGCCGGGCCUGAGAGGGUGUCCGGCCACACUGGGCACUGAGAUACGGCCCA